CCUACGGGCGGCAGCAGUGGGGAAUAUUGGACAAUGGGGGGAACCCUGAUCCAGCCAUGCCGCGUGUGUGAAGAAGGCCUUUUGGUUGUAAAGCACUUUAAGCGAGGAGGAGGCUACUGGUAUUAAUACUACCGGAUAGUGGACGUUACUCGCAGAAUAAGCACCGGCUAACUCUGUGCCAGCAGCCGCGGUAAUACAGAGGGUGCGAGCGUUAAUCGGAUUUACUGGGCGUAAAGCGUGCGUAGGCGGCUUUUUAAGUCGGAUGUGAAAUCCCUGAGCUUAACUUAGGAAUUGCAUUCGAUACUGGGAGGCUAGAGUAUGGGAGAGGAUGGUAGAAUUCCAGGUGUAGCGGUGAAAUGCGUAGAGAUCUGGAGGAAUACCGAUGGCGAAGGCAGCCAUCUGGCCUAAUACUGACGCUGAGGUACGAAAGCAUGGGGAGCAAACAGGAUUAGAUACCCGAGUAGUC
This 466-nucleotide ribosomal RNA is filed under the name uncultured Acinetobacter sp. RNAcentral's name for it is "bacterial SSU rRNA". It matches the Rfam family "Bacterial small subunit ribosomal RNA", at positions 338 to 795 of the family's 1533-position model. Lineage: Bacteria; Pseudomonadati; Pseudomonadota; Gammaproteobacteria; Moraxellales; Moraxellaceae. The record is from RNAcentral.